Sapajus apella (tufted capuchin) is the source of this 139-nucleotide long non-coding RNA. RefSeq lists it as uncharacterized. The transcript has 3 exons. The record is from RefSeq and is a predicted model, not a curated record. NCBI's taxonomy places the organism in Eukaryota, Metazoa, Chordata, Mammalia, Primates, Cebidae.
UGGUAUUAUAGGGAGCUUUCCCUUUCACUUGACUUUCAUUCUUCUCCUUCCUGCUACCAUGUGAAGGAUGUGUUUACUUCUCCUUCUGCCAUGAUGGUAAGUUUCCUGAGGCCUCCCUGGUAACUGUGACUCAAGUAAU